UUACCAAAAAAAAAAAAAAAUCAGCUACCCGGACGACCUACCUCAGUGUAUUACAUACUGUUUCGGUAUUCUUUUCCCGGAUAUUUGUUUUAAGAAAAAUAACAAUACUGACCUAGACUAUGCUAGCUCCAGCCCUCGAUCCUUGACCCUACCCCACCCAUCUUGUCACGCACGACCAAAACAGGUACACCAUUGAGGGCUCGCCCACGACUGGAAACAUUUUCUUUCUCUUUGAGUAUCUCUCCAUCCUCCCUAGUCCCUGUUUGUAUGUGUGUUUGGGAUUGGAGAAUAAAAUGUAUUUAACCCCGUACCAAGCUAUGACACAUCUCUACUUUUUGUCUCACGAUCACGGUUGCUCCAAAAACCUGUUAUGGAAACACUUGAGAUUAGUGUCGACUAUAGACGGUGGGGAUGAAUGCAAUGUGGAACACAAGUCAAUUUUCUGGCAGAUGGUGAUCACAUGGCUACGUGGUGCGUCUUAGUCUCGGGCUCAUUUUCACGUGACGGUUUCUGUCGCGCACAGAGUAACCACGAGUUCCUUCCUAGACACGUCCGUGGAGUAGCCUCAUACCUGUAACCACGAACUCCUAGACACGUUCGCUGUGAUAUAGUUGCUGGCAUGGUGUAAAUCACAAACAAACAUCCUCGACACCAAAACAAAUCUCGGAAAGCGGAAGUGGAGGGCGGAUCACAACCAAGAUGGCGUCCAGAACGUUCGUCUGCCUGACUGCAGCUUUGUUAUGCAUCAAAACAUCCACAAUGGGACUUCCAGAGGACGAAAUAAAGCCUUCGAUAGACACCAAAGCUGCCUCGAAACAUAGUAUUGAUAGUUUAACAAUUUUGAUGCUUCUUGGUUUGUUGCUUUUGACAAUUUUGACCGUUUGGUUCUUCAAGUACAGACGGUUCAGAUUCGUUCACGAGACUGGCUUGUCCAUGUUGUACGGUCUUAUUGUUGGGGUAAUAAUCCGCUACACCAGCAGUCCAAAUGCAACACAAGGUUAUGCCACUGCAGUUGUCACUGACAACACUACUUACUAUUCAGACAGUCCUCCUGAUAUUGUGUACAUAAACUUCUCAGUUCGGAACACCACAAAUCAGUUGCGCAUAAAAUAUGACUUAGCUGGCACCGUUAAUAUACCAGUCACAGAACCACCUCUGGAGAGAACGGUGACCUUUGACCCAGAAAUCUUCUUCAAUGUAAUGCUGCCAGUGAUUAUCUUUGAGGCUGGCUACAGCAUGAAGCGAAGACAUUUCUUCAGGAAUCUUGGAGCCAUUAUGACAUAUGCCUUGAUUGGAACAACAAUCUCUUGCUUGGUUGUAGGGGGGAUCCUCUACGGCAUGACAAGCUUGAUGUACGACAUCUCCUUCAACCUGACCGAGAGUAUUUAUUUUGGUGCUAUAAUCUCAGCCACUGAUCCAGUGACAGUUCUUGCCAUAUUCCAUGAUCUCCAUGUGGAUGUCGAUCUGUAUGCCCUUGUCUUUGGGGAAAGUGUUCUCAAUGAUGCUGUUGCCAUCGUUUUGUCCGAGUCAGUAUCAGUGUAUGGGGCACUGGCAGCCAACGACUCCUUCAAUGCUCAAUCUCUCUUCCAGUCAGUUGGAAGGUUUGUUGGCGUCUUUACUGGAUCCUUUGCGAUAGGUGGUCUGUUUGGUGUCUCCACAGCGUUUCUGACGAAGUUUACUAAGGUGAAGGAAUUUCCUCUGUUGGAGACAGCUCUCUUCUUUCUUAUGUCCUACUGCAGCUUCCAGGCAGCUGAGGCUGCAGCUAUGACUGGCAUUGUAGCUGUUCUGUUCUGUGGAAUCACACAAGCCCACUACACUUACAACAACCUUUCUGUGGAAUCAAAGAUCAGAACUAAGCAGCUGUUUGAACUGGGCAACUUCCUGGCAGAAAACUUUGUUUUCUUGUACAUUGGUGUGUCAGUAUUCACCCUCCAGCCACUGAGGUGGCACGCAGGCUUCAUUUUAUCCUCAUUUCUUGCUGUGAUCAUUGGGCGGAUGAUGAAUGUCUACCCUCUCACAUUCCUUCUGAACCUGGGGAGAAGCAACAAGAUCCGACCCAAUUUUCAGCACAUGAUGAUGUUUGCUGGCUUGCGAGGGGCAGUUGCUUUUGCGUUGGCGAUCCGCAACAUACAGACAGUCGCCAACCAGCAUAUGGCAGCAGCCACCAUGAUGAUUGUGUUGGCCACUGUUAUUCUUUGCGGAGGCUUCACAACCCCAAUGUUGCAGUGGCUGCAGAUCAGAGUUGGUGUGGAGGAUGAUGCAACUGUUCACCUGAACCAACUGUCGACUUCGCACAAUGCUGCACAUCGCCAGUAUAACUCCAUGGAAGUCUCCGGCUCUGGCAGGCCUACAGCCCAUUCCUUCUCGUUUGGAGAGGAUGGCUGCAGCUCACCAGUGUCUCCUUUGCUUUGUAUUACAGGGAAGCAACAGAUGACUGCUAGUGGGAUACAGAUGUCUGGUAGUCGCUCUGAAAAGGCUUGGCUUGUGGGAAAAUGGUAUAAUUUUGACAUGAGAUUCAUGAAACCACUCUUGACUCAUGCCCGGCCAUCUCUCAUGGACACCAUGCCCAAGUGCUGUUUGCCUCUAGCCAGACUGUUAACUACUGAAGAACAGCUUUCACAGGGUAUAUGCAAUGAAAAUGACUCUGAUGUAGACAUGAUCAUUGACCCUAAUCACCUGUCACUUGAUGGAGUCUCUGACAACAGAGUACCUGCAGACCAGAUGACAGUGGUAGAUGAUACAGUCAGAAAAGAGGCAAUGCAGACAGCUUAUGAAUUGUAGAGGUACAACUGAUCUCUUGAGAAUGAAAGCCCAUUCUUAAAAUUUUGAUUGGUUGUACAUGAUGAAAGCCAAAGAGGUGAUCUUGGCUUGGGGCAAACCAAUGAACCACUGGUAUGGCGGAUUGGCAUAUACGGACCA
RNAcentral lists this unclassified non-coding RNA (2919 nucleotides) under Pomacea canaliculata. Its description in RNAcentral is "sodium/hydrogen exchanger 9-like, transcript variant X3". Lineage: Eukaryota; Metazoa; Mollusca; Gastropoda; Architaenioglossa; Ampullariidae. The record is from RNAcentral.